Molecule: ribosomal RNA, 803 nt
Filed under: uncultured Planctomycetaceae bacterium
Lineage: Bacteria; Pseudomonadati; Planctomycetota; Planctomycetia; Planctomycetales; Planctomycetaceae
Description: bacterial SSU rRNA
Rfam family: Bacterial small subunit ribosomal RNA
Source: RNAcentral
GUUUGAUCCUGGCUCAGAAUGAACGUUGGCGGCGUGGAUUAGGCAUGCAAGUCGAGCGAGAACCCAGUCUUCGGACUGGGGACAGCGGCGAACGGGGUAGGAAUACCUCGGUGACGUACCCUCCGGUCGGGGAUAGCGGCGGGAAACUGCCGGUAAUACCCGAUGACCUUCCUUGAUUUUAGCUUUGGGGAAGCAAAGGUGUGAUUCCGUCGGAGGAGCGGCUGAGGUCGUAUUAGCUGGUUGGUGAGGUAACGGCUCACCAAGGCGAUGAUGCGUAGGGGGUGUGAGAGCAUGGCCCCCACCACUGGCACUGAGACACUGGCCAGACACCUACGGGUGGCUGCAGUCGAGAAUCUUCGGCAAUGGGCGCAAGCCUGACCGAGCGACGCCGCGUGCGGGAUGAAGGUCUUCGGAUUGUAAACCGCUGUCGGAGGGGAUGAAGUGUAUCGGGGUACUCCCCGGUAUUUGACAGAGCCUCGGAGGAAGCACGGGCUAAGUUCGUGCCAGCAGCCGCGGUAAUACGAACUGUGCGAACGUUAUUCGGAAUCACUGGGCUUAAAGGGUGCGUAGGCGGCGGCACAAGUCAGGUGUGAAAUCCCCCGGCUCAACCGGGGAACAGCGCUUGAAACUAGGUCGCUCGAGUGAGGUAGGGGUGUAUGGAACUUCCGGUGGAGCGGUGAAAUGUGUAGAGAUCGGAAGGAACGCCGGCGGCGAAAGCGGUACACUGGGCCUUGUCUGACGCUGAGGCACGAAAGCUAGGGGAGUGAACGGGAUUAGAUACCCCGGUAAUCCUAGCCGUAAAC